This 104-nucleotide non-coding RNA is filed under the name Ciona intestinalis (vase tunicate). Lineage: Eukaryota; Metazoa; Chordata; Ascidiacea; Phlebobranchia; Cionidae. The record is from RNAcentral.
UGCUCUCUUGGUGGUCACCUUCACGCGGUGAGAGCGUUAAGUAACUUGGAGGUCCCGGGUUCGAUUCCCGCACAAGGGACUUUCAGGUGAAAACUAAGAACCAC